This 444-nucleotide small RNA is filed under the name Pongo abelii (Sumatran orangutan). Its description in RNAcentral is "sense intronic". Lineage: Eukaryota; Metazoa; Chordata; Mammalia; Primates; Hominidae. The record is from RNAcentral.
UUAUGGGACUUAAGAGCUAUCACUCUGUAUUUUAAGUGCUUUCUUUUUUAUGUUUAGAAAUGUUAAUUUCAUAAACAGCCAUAAAGUAAUUGAAAUAAAAAGAUACAUUGUAAAAGCUUUUUAUUUCUAUGAAACAACUUUCAUUCUAAUACCAAAUAGUUAUAUCGGGAAUGUGCUAUGUUCGCUUUAUCUGUAAAAUGAGAGAUGUCAUUUUUCAAUUGGAGACUAUGGAUUCCAUAUCUUCUGUGGAGUUACGAGAUUCUGUACCCAUUUUAUUAUAAUUGCAAUUUUAAGAUGCAUUUCAUUUAUUUAAAAAUGUAUUUUUAAAAAUAAUAUGUACACUCUAAUUACCUGCCAGUUGGACAUCACAGAAUACAGUUUUUCCACCGUCUCUGUGUAUAUAUUUGUACUAUUAAUAAAUGUACACUUGAUUAAAAACACAAA